AGUCGUAACAAGGUUUCCGUAGGUGAACCUGCGGAAGGAUCAUUACCGAGUUAGGGUUCGUCCAACGAGCCCGACCUCCCAACCCUUUGUUUAUUUUACCUUGUCGUUGCUUCGGCGGACCGGUCGCGACCAACUGGUCGUGGCCGCCGGGGGUCCACCUCCUGGAGAGCGUCCGCCGAUGGCCCAACCACAAAUUCUUGUAUCAAACCAUGUCGUCUGAAUUACUUGAUUAAAAUCAAAAAACAAAACUUUCAACAACGGAUCUCUUGGUUCUGGCAUCGAUGAAGAACGCAGCGAAAUGCGAUAAGUAAUGCGAAUUGCAGAAUUUCCGUGAGUCAUCGAAUCUUUGAACGCACAUUGCGCCCACUGGUAUUCCGGUGGGCAUGCCUGUUCGAGCGUCAUUAUCCUCCCUCAAACCUCGGGUUUGGUGUUGGACCCAAGUUGUGUGAACAACUGGUCACAAAGACAAUGACGGCGUCCGUGGGACCCUCGGUGCAACGAGCUUUUAAACGAGCACGCGUCGAGUUUCAAGGACCUUCCGGGCCGGUCUCCUUCUUUUAUUUACAAAGGUUGACCUCGGAUCAGGUAGGAAUACCCGCUGAACUUAAGCAUAUCAAUAAGCGGAGGAAAAGAAACCAACAGGGAUUGCCUCAGUAACGGCGAGUGAAGCGGCAACAGCUCAAAUUUGAAAUCUGGCCUUACGGUCCGAGUUGUAAUUUGUAGAGGAUGUUUUGGGUACCGCCGCGGUUUAAAUUUCUUGGAACAGAAUGUCAAAGAGGGUGAGAGUCCCGUCUUGGAUCGCGGUAGGGCCUGUGUAAAACUCCUUCGACGAGUCGACUUGUUUGGGAAUGCAGGUCAAAAUGGGUGGUAAAUUUCAUCUAAAGCUAAAUAUUGGCCAGAGACCGAUAGCGCACAAGUAGAGUGAUCGAAAGAUGAAAAGCACUUUGAAAAGAGAGUUAAACAGUAUGUGAAAUUGUUGAAAGGGAAGCGCUGGCAACCAGACUCGUGCGCGGGGUUCCCCCUUGCUUCUGCUUGGGUCACUUCCCCGUGUCCGGGCCAUCAUCAGUUUCGGGGGCCGGUUAAAGGCUCUGGGAAUGUAUCUACUCCUUCGGGGGUAGACUUAUAGCCCAGGGUGUCAUGCGGCCACUCGGGACUGAGGAACGCGCUUCGGCGAGGAUGAUGGCGUAAUGGUUGUCAGCGACC
This 1203-nucleotide ribosomal RNA is filed under the name uncultured fungus. RNAcentral's name for it is "eukaryotic LSU rRNA". The stretch from base 572 to 1203 matches the Rfam family "Eukaryotic large subunit ribosomal RNA", at positions 1 to 649 of the family's 3401-position model. The record is from RNAcentral. Lineage: Eukaryota; Fungi.